RNAcentral lists this transfer RNA (73 nucleotides) under Dreissena polymorpha. RNAcentral's name for it is "tRNA-Lys". Lineage: Eukaryota; Metazoa; Mollusca; Bivalvia; Myida; Dreissenidae. The record is from RNAcentral.
GCACGGAUGGCCGAGUUGUCUAAGCGUUAAACUUUUACUCUAAGUAUCAGUGGUUCGAGCCCACUUGAGGGUU